RNAcentral lists this transfer RNA (90 nucleotides) under Actinomycetota bacterium. Its description in RNAcentral is "tRNA-Ser". It matches the Rfam family "tRNA". From Rfam's summary of the family: Transfer RNA (tRNA) molecules are approximately 80 nucleotides in length. Their secondary structure includes four short double-helical elements and three loops (D, anti-codon, and T loops). The record is from RNAcentral. Lineage: Bacteria; Bacillati; Actinomycetota.
GGAAGGGUGGCUGAGUGGUCGAAGGCGGCGGUCUCGAAAACCGUUAGAGGUGCAAGUCUCUCGUGGGUUCGAAUCCCACCCCUUCCGCCA